GAUGAACGCUGGCGGCGUGCCUAAUACAUGCAAGUCGAGCGAACAGACGAGGAGCUUGCUCCUCUGACGUUAGCGGCGGACGGGUGAGUAACACGUGGAUAACCUACCUAUAAGACUGGGAUAACUUCGGGAAACCGGAGCUAAUACCGGAUAAUAUAUUGAACCGCAUGGUUCAAUAGUGAAAGACGGUUCUGCUGUCACUUAUCGAUGGAUCCGCGCCGCAUUAGCUAGUUGGUAAGGUAACGGCUUACCAAGGCAACGAUGCGUAGCCGACCUGAGAGGGUGAUCGGCCACACUGGAACUGAGACACGGUCCAGACUCCUACGGGAGGCAGCAGUAGGGAAUCUUCCGCAAUGGGCGAAAGCCUGACGGAGCAACGCCGCGUGAGUGAUGAAGGUCUUCGGAUCGUAAAACUCUGUUAUUAGGGAAGAACAAAUGUGUAAGUAACUAUGCACGUCUUGACGGUACCUAAUCAGAAAGCCACGGCUAACUACGUG
Molecule: ribosomal RNA, 497 nt
Filed under: uncultured bacterium
Lineage: Bacteria
Description: partial 16S ribosomal RNA
Rfam family: Bacterial small subunit ribosomal RNA
Source: RNAcentral